UACGUAGGCAGCAAGCGUUGUUCGGAGUUACUGGGCGUAAAGAGUGUGUAGGCGGUGCUCCAAGUCUGGUGUGAAAUCUCCCGGCUCAACUGGGAGGGUGCGCUAGAAACUGGAAUGCUAGAGGAUGGGAGAGGUAAGCGGAAUUCCUGGUGUAGCGGUGAAAUGCGUAGAUAUCAGGAGGAACACCUGUGGUGUAGACAGCUUGCUGGACCAUUUCUGACGCUGAGACACGAAAGCGUGGGUAGCAAACAGG
RNAcentral lists this ribosomal RNA (253 nucleotides) under uncultured bacterium. RNAcentral's name for it is "partial 16S ribosomal RNA". It matches the Rfam family "Bacterial small subunit ribosomal RNA", at positions 524 to 776 of the family's 1533-position model. The record is from RNAcentral.